RNAcentral lists this ribosomal RNA (251 nucleotides) under uncultured prokaryote. Its description in RNAcentral is "partial 16S rRNA". It matches the Rfam family "Bacterial small subunit ribosomal RNA", at positions 525 to 775 of the family's 1533-position model. The record is from RNAcentral.
ACGGAGGGUGCAAGCGUUAUUCGGAAUUACUGGGCGUAAAGGGCGUGCAGGCGGGAGAGCAAGUCUGAUGUGAAAGCCCGGGGCUUAACCCCGGAAGGGCAUUGGAAACUGCUUUUCUUGAGUUCUGGAGAGGAAGGGAGAAUUCCCGGUGUAGAGGUGGAGGGCGUAGAGAGCGGGAGGAAAAGCAGUGGCGAAGGAGCACUUCUGGACAGCAACUGAUGCUGAGACGCGAAAGUGUGGGGAGGAAACAG